Molecule: ribosomal RNA, 511 nt
Filed under: Chathamia integripennis
Lineage: Eukaryota; Metazoa; Arthropoda; Insecta; Trichoptera; Chathamiidae
Description: partial 16S ribosomal RNA
Source: RNAcentral
GUCUUUAAGAUUAAUAAUUUAAAGUCUAAUCUGCUCACUGAAAUAAUUUUUAAAGAGCCGCAGUAUAAUUGUGCAAAGGUAGCAUAAUAAUUAGUCUUUUAAUUGAAGUCUAGAAUGAAUGAUUGGACGAGAUAUUUACUGUUUCAAUUUUAUAAAAAUAGAAUUUAAUUUUUUAAUUAAAAAGUUAAAAUUUUUUAAAAAGACGAGAAGACCCUAUAGAUUUUUAUAUUUAAAUUUAAUAUAAGAUAAUUAUUAAUAUUAUAUAAAUUUGAUAUUUAAUUGGGGUGAUUAAAAAAUUUAAUUAACUUUUUUUUUAUUAAACAAAAAUUAUUGUAUAAGUUUUAUAAUUUGAUCUAUUAUAGUAAAUUAAGAUUAAAAUACCUUAGGGAUAACAGCGUAAUUUUAAUUUGAAGUUCUUAUUUAAAUUAAAGAUUGCGACCUCGAUGUUGGAUUAAAAUUAAUAUUAAAUGCAGAAAUUUAAUUAUUAGGUCUGUUCGACCUUUAAAAUUUU